AGCAGGGCUGGAUUUACUGUUCAUCUGCAUCUGCACAUUUGCAGAUGCCUGUGAUCACAACAGCUGGAGUUAUAUACAGGGUAUAGUAUAUCGAUGGGGGGAAAUAUGCACAGAGUAGAAGAGAAUGGGAAGAAAUGCAUCGUGAUCCACGGUUUUAGUGGCUCUUCUUUCCAGGAAGGAGGGUUCAUCAUCACUCCUGCACAGGAGAUCAGUCAAAAGUGAAACCUGAACUUGAAGUAUUGAAAAAACAGCACAGAAAUGGAGAGCUUACAAAAAACCAGAGCGAUAAAUUCUCUAUCAAUGCUAGACUUCACACUGGUAUCUGAAAGACUCCAGUCAUGUGCUCUGCCAUCUCUCGAGAUUUUUGUCACAAGUUGCCCUCCUGAUAAGAUUAAAGAUCCUGACAUGUAAAAUGAGACAAAGAAGAUGGAUAUGGUGGGCUGGUGAUUUCCAGCAAUAAAUCUGGGUGCUACAUGAAAGUGUGUUAAGUA
Molecule: long non-coding RNA, 491 nt
Filed under: Cyanistes caeruleus (blue tit)
Lineage: Eukaryota; Metazoa; Chordata; Aves; Passeriformes; Paridae
Description: lncRNA (ENSCCEG00000011934.1)
Source: RNAcentral